RNAcentral lists this ribosomal RNA (471 nucleotides) under uncultured bacterium. Its description in RNAcentral is "bacterial SSU rRNA". It matches the Rfam family "Bacterial small subunit ribosomal RNA", at positions 335 to 799 of the family's 1533-position model. The record is from RNAcentral.
ACUCCUACGGGAGGCAGCAGUGGGAAUAUUGCACAAUGGGCGCAAGCCUGAUGCAGCCAUGCCGCGUGUAUGAAGAAGGCCUUCGGGUUGUAAAGUACUUUCAGCAGUGAGGAAGGCGGGUACGUUAAUAGCGUGCUCGUUUGACGUUAGCUGCAGAAGAAGCACCGGCUAACUCCGUGCCAGCAGCCGCGGUAAUACGGAGGGUGCGAGCGUUAAUCGGAAUUACUGGGCGUAAAGCGUGCGUAGGCGGCCAUUUAAGUCAAAUGUGAAAUCCCCGAGCUUAACUUGGGAAUUGCAUUCGAUACUGGAUGGCUAGAGUAUGGGAGAGGAUGGUAGAAUUCCAGGUGUAGCGGUGAAAUGCGUAGAGAUCUGGAGGAAUACCGAUGGCGAAGGCAGCCAUCUGGCCUAAUACUGACGCUGAGGUACGAAAGCAUGGGGAGCAAACAGGAUUAGAUACCCUGGUAGGCUCUG